UGUGGAUUACAGUACAGUAAUGUAUUACAGUCAUGUAGCACUUCAUUUAUUGAGGCUGCUGCUGUUUCUCCAGCUACGAGACAGGUCCUGCAACAUCGACUCCCUUGAAGAGAAAACCUUUGCAAGUCCCAGCUCCAGCAUUGUCUAGCAUUGGUGCUUCUAGUGGAACAGACCGAGAUGAGCAUCUUGAUGUCAUUCCAGAAGCCACAGAAAUUCAGGGCCUUGAACAAAGAUUUUUGUGCCUCAAUAGAAUGGGUGGAGCACUGAAGAAAGCACACUCUAUCGAUGGACUUCCUUGCCUGCAGACGCUCCUGAUGAGCCUUCUCCCUGUGAUCAUGACCCUGUAUUCCCAGAACCACAGAAUGUUCUUUGUGAAGAUGACAUCAUAGGUGUCAGAGCCUCCAUAGUGUACAAGAACUGCUUAAGACAACUGGCUACAUUUCUGAUCCUGCCUGUGGAUAAAUGCACUGGCCUUCUGAGGACUGGUGCGCCGUGCAACUCUGUUGCACCCUUUGAGAUCAACAUCACCACCAAGGGCACAGCAGCUACUAUC
This is a long non-coding RNA of Micropterus salmoides (largemouth bass), 553 nucleotides long. RefSeq lists it as uncharacterized. The record is from RefSeq and is a predicted model, not a curated record. The transcript is spliced from 3 exons. NCBI's taxonomy places the organism in Eukaryota, Metazoa, Chordata, Actinopteri, Centrarchiformes, Centrarchidae.